RNAcentral lists this ribosomal RNA (393 nucleotides) under uncultured bacterium. RNAcentral describes it as "partial 16S ribosomal RNA". It matches the Rfam family "Bacterial small subunit ribosomal RNA", at positions 523 to 918 of the family's 1533-position model. The record is from RNAcentral.
AUACGGAGGAUCCGAGCGUUAUCCGGAUUUAUUGGGUUUAAAGGGAGCGUAGGCGGACGCUUAAGUCAGUUGUGAAAGUUUGCGGCUCAACCGUAAAAUUGCAGUUGAUACUGGGUGUCUUGAGUACAGUAGAGGCAGGCGGAAUUCGUGGUGUAGCGGUGAAAUGCUUAGAUAUAACGAAGAACUCCGAUUGCGAAGGCAGCCUGCUGGACUGUAACUGACGCUGAUGCUCGAAAGUGUGGGUAUCAAACAGGAUUAGAUACCCUGGUAGUCCACACAGUAAACGAUGAAUACUCGCUGUUUGCGAUAUACAGUAAGCGGCCAAGCGAAAGCGUUAAGUAUUCCACCUGGGGAGUACGCCGGCAACGGUGAAACUCAAAUGAAUUGACGGGG